CCCUUAGAUGUUCUGGGCCGCACGCGCGCUACACUGACGAUGGCAACGAGUUUUUCCUUCGCCGAAAGGUGUGGGUAAUCUUUUGAAACAUCGUCGUGCUGGGGAUAGAUCAUUGCAAUUUUUGAUCUUGAACGAGGAAUUCCUAGUAAGCGCGAGUCAUCAGCUCGCGUUGAUUACGUCCCUGCCCUUUGUACACACCGCCCGUCGCUACUACCGAUUGAAUGGUUUAGUGAGGACUCCUGAUUGGCGCCGCCGCUCCGGCAACGGAGCAGCGGACUGCCGAAAAGUUGUUCAAACUUGAUCAUUUAGAGGAAGUAAAAGUCGUAACA
Molecule: ribosomal RNA, 329 nt
Filed under: uncultured eukaryote
Lineage: Eukaryota
Description: partial 18S ribosomal RNA
Rfam family: Eukaryotic small subunit ribosomal RNA
Source: RNAcentral